This 496-nucleotide ribosomal RNA is filed under the name uncultured bacterium. Its description in RNAcentral is "partial 16S ribosomal RNA". It matches the Rfam family "Bacterial small subunit ribosomal RNA", at positions 28 to 506 of the family's 1533-position model. The record is from RNAcentral.
GAUGAACGCUGGCGGCGUGCCUAAUACAUGCAAGUCGAGCGAACAGAUGAGGAGCUUGCUCCUCUGACGUUAGCGGCGGACGGGUGAGUAACACGUGGAUAACCUACCUAUAAGACUGGGAUAACUUCGGGAAACCGGAGCUAAUACCGGAUAAUAUAUUGAACCGCAUGGUUCAAUAGUGAAAGACGGUUUUGCUGUCACUUAUAGAUGGAUCCGCGCCGCAUUAGCUAGUUGGUAAGGUAACGGCUUACCAAGGCAACGAUGCGUAGCCGACCUGAGAAGGGGAUCGGCCACACUGGAACUGAGACACGGUCCAGACUCCUACGGGAGGCAGCAGUAGGGAAUCUUCCGCAAUGGGCGAAAGCCUGACGGAGCAACGCCGCGUGAGUGAGGAAGGUCUUCGGAUCGUAAAACUCUGUUAUUAGGGAAGAACAAAUGUGUAAGUAACUAUGCACGUCUUGACGGGACCUAAUCAGAAAGCCACGGCUAACUACGG